UAUGGUAUGUGCCAGCCGCCGCGGUAAUACGGAAGGUCCGGGCGUUAUCCGGAUUUAUUGGGUUUAAAGGGAGCGUAGGCCGGAGAUUAAGCGUGUUGUGAAAUGUAGACGCUCAACGUCUGCACUGCAGCGCGAACUGGUUUCCUUGAGUACGCACAAAGUGGGCGGAAUUCGUGGUGUAGCGGUGAAAUGCUUAGAUAUCACGAAGAACUCCGAUUGCGAAGGCAGCUCACUGGAGCGCAACUGACGCUGAAGCUCGAAAGUGCGGGUAUCGAACAGG
RNAcentral lists this ribosomal RNA (280 nucleotides) under Segatella copri DSM 18205. RNAcentral describes it as "Prevotella copri DSM 18205 partial 16S ribosomal RNA". It matches the Rfam family "Bacterial small subunit ribosomal RNA", at positions 497 to 776 of the family's 1533-position model. The record is from RNAcentral. Lineage: Bacteria; Pseudomonadati; Bacteroidota; Bacteroidia; Bacteroidales; Prevotellaceae.